Long non-coding RNA from Heterocephalus glaber (naked mole-rat), 1097 nucleotides. NCBI's taxonomy places the organism in Eukaryota, Metazoa, Chordata, Mammalia, Rodentia, Bathyergidae. The record is from Ensembl.
GCCUGUGUGGGUUUAUCACGAUUCAGUGUUAAUUUCUGGCCAACUGGAAAGCGAAGUACUCCAGGUAGACAGAACCAGCAACCCCACCUCCAUGCCUGACCCUGUCUUUGAACUGCUCCCAGGAGCCACUGUCUGCAAGAGGGACCCUGAGGCCCAUCACAGGCUUCAGAAUGAACUACAGGACAUGGAAUGUGGAAGAUGAGCCUUUUGCAAAGAACAGUGCAGCUCACCCUGGAGGCAUCUUUCAGCCACCUGAGGCUCCUCCCGUGACAGCGAUGGCAAACUCUUGCACAACCAUCUCACACUUACCAGACACUGUUCUAGCACUUUCUGUAGGAACCCACUGAUCUAAUCCUCACAUCAACCCCAGGAAGUAGCUUCCACUAUCCGUCCCAUUUUACAGAAAAGGAGUCUGAGGGAGAGAUGCACAUUAGGAAACACACAAGACACAUGGUGCGUAAAUGUUACCGUCUGUAGGAAGAAUGCUGCCAGAACAUCUGUUAGUUCCCCGCAGGUAUCUCCUUCCGACCUGUGGAAGCCACCAUUUCUCACUUUCUCACUUUCACACCUCAUAAUCCUUCUGGCCUUUACUCUAAGGAAAUAGUAGGUUUUUAAGACUUUGGUACCAAAUAAUCAGUGUUUCUCCUAGGCAAAUGGCAGGUUUCUAUCAGCCUAAAUUUGCAACUGAUUAGGUUCUCACUAGAAAAUCUGAAGCCAGAUAUCUAGUCCAUUUGCAGCAAAUGCCCCAAAUCUUUACACUAGUCAUGUCUAUCCUCACUCCUGGAUCUAUUAUCCUCCAGCCUCUAUAAUAUGUUUUCUUUUUUAUGUUUAAUUUUAAUGUAUACAGUGGUGGAUUUUAUAUAUCUUUGAAAGCUUCCCUAAAUCCUUCUUGAAACACAGGGAGAUAUAAAUAAAUAAACAGACUCAAGCAAGCCUAAGAAAAACAAUAUCAAUAUAAAAACAAAGCAAAGCAUGCCUAUAACUUCCACAGGAUACAUUUUCUUGGUACACAUUUGUGUUUGUUUGCUUUUAACACCAUGUUCUGUUAAUUCCAAUUGUUAUAAGUGGCGUGUAUUCUAGACUUGAGCAAUAAAUGG